Molecule: ribosomal RNA, 542 nt
Filed under: Chelarctus cultrifer
Lineage: Eukaryota; Metazoa; Arthropoda; Malacostraca; Decapoda; Scyllaridae
Description: partial 16S ribosomal RNA
Rfam family: Bacterial large subunit ribosomal RNA
Source: RNAcentral
GUCUUUAUGAAUUUCAUAUAAAGUCUGGCCUGCCCAAUGAUGUAGAGUUUAAUGGCCGCGGUAUAUUGACCGUGCGAAGGUAGCAUAAUAAUUAGUCUUUUAAUUGAGGACUAGAAUGAAAGGUUGAACAAGAAGUUAACUGUCUCUAAAUUAAAUCUUGAAUUUAACAUUUAAGUGAAAAGGCUUAAAUACUUUAGGGGGACGAUAAGACCCUAUGAAUCUUUAUAUUUGAGUUUAUAAAAUAAAAUAUUAAAUAUAUCUUUUGUUUAAUAAGUUUAAAUAUUUUGUUGGGGCGACAGAAGUAUAAAAUGUAACUGCUUUAAAAUAAUAGUUAAUUGAUGUUUAGUUAUGUGAUCCUUUAUUAAAGAUAUUAGUUUAAGUUACUUUAGGGAUAACAGCGUAAUUUUUUUUGAGAGUUCGUAUCGAAAAAAAAGUUUGCGACCUCGAUGUUGAAUUAAAGAUCCUUUAUGGUGCAGAAGUUAUAGAAGGAGGUCUGUUCGACCUUUAAAUCUUUACAUGAUUUGAGUUCAGACCGGCGUAAG